UCGGGAAUAUUGCGCAAUGGAGGAAACUCUGACGCAGUGACGCCGCGUGCAGGAAGAAGGUUUUCGGAUUGUAAACUGCUUUAGACAGGGAAGAAAAAAGACAGUACCUGUAGAAUAAGCUCCGGCUAACUACGUGCCAGCAGCCGCGGUAAUACGUAGGGGCGAAGCGUUAUCCGGAUUUAUUGGGUGUAAAGGGUGCGUAGACGGAGAAGCAAGUUAGUUGUGAAAUCCCUCGGCUUAACCGAGGAGCUGCAACUAAAACUACUUCCCUUGAGUGCUGGAGAGGAAAGUGGAAUUCCUAGUGUAGCGGUGAAAUGCGUAGAUAUUAGGAGGAACACCAGUGGCGAAGGCGACUUUCUGGACAGUAACUGACGUUGAGGCACGAAAGUGUGGGGAGCAAACAGGAUUAGAUACC
RNAcentral lists this ribosomal RNA (415 nucleotides) under uncultured bacterium. Its description in RNAcentral is "bacterial SSU rRNA". It matches the Rfam family "Bacterial small subunit ribosomal RNA", at positions 355 to 786 of the family's 1533-position model. The record is from RNAcentral.